CGAAGCUUAUUUUCUAUUUAUUAAAAUUGUAUAUAUUGUUAUGCUAGGCUCUAUUAGCUUAGGUUAAGAUAUAUUGAGCUCAGUUGGAUUAGGUUAUAGUGGGUUGAGCUAGGUUAGGUUUCAACAAGCCACAAUGUAGGACUGAGAUGUUACACAAUGUAGUAACCGAUGUUACUUCGCCCACAGGUUUAUAAACUCAUGGAACCGCCUACCCGCCGAAGUCGUAAAUGCCAAAAAAAAAUUUAACAUUUAAAGUACAGCUGGAAAAGAUCAAGACAAAUGGGGGAGGGGAACCUUCGACAAACCGCCGGCUUCCUGUCCUCAUCGGGACCACUAGUGUUAUUGGCUCUCAGAAGGAUCAUCAAAAGAAUGAUGAAGCAGAACUGAUAGGGAGCAACCAAGUGUAGUAGCAGAAAAAGGUCUUCAGCUCAAAAUCAUAGCAAGCUAAGGGUGAAAGGGCAGCUGGUCUUCCCAACAAAGAAGUAAUGUGGAAGGUACCUUGGUCAACAAAAGUCAGUUCACCCAGGGCAGUUCAGAACUCGACUUGCUCCAGCGGAAACAAGUGGGCCAAGUCGGUGAAGACUGUGAAUUGUCUGUGAUAACCAGUUAAGUACAAUAUUUGUGAUUGGACCAAUGUAUCCUGGGAUGGCCCAGUUGUUUUUAGAUGGAAUUAAUGUCUGUCUGUCCUCUAAGUUAAGGCUUUUUAUAGGUGAAGCCUUUAGGGAAAGCCAGCUAGUGUGUUGCUGGAGACCAGCUAGUGUGUUGCUGGAGACCAGCCAGCAUGUUGCUGGAGAGUCAAAAGGGGUAUUUUGACACUGUGGAGGAAUAGCCCAUGAUUUACUGAGAAAGGUGGACGCGCCAGCAUGAGUACCAUAG
Non-coding RNA from Procambarus clarkii (red swamp crayfish), 876 nucleotides. The record is from RefSeq and is a predicted model, not a curated record. NCBI's taxonomy places the organism in Eukaryota, Metazoa, Arthropoda, Malacostraca, Decapoda, Cambaridae.